Molecule: long non-coding RNA, 350 nt
Organism: Prosopis cineraria
Lineage: Eukaryota; Viridiplantae; Streptophyta; Magnoliopsida; Fabales; Fabaceae
Exons: 3
Source: RefSeq, a predicted model, not a curated record
UCUGCCUCGUUCUCCACCGCUGUUUCUUCAUCUUUCUUGCUCGACACCAACGCAGGCAACCGUGAGUUCUUCCUCGUUUCAAUGUCGCUGAAUCUUUCUCCUCCUCCCCUGUUUGCGUUGUGCUGUACUGCGGUUGGACAUAAAAGAAAAAAAACAGGGGAGUGGGUUUUUGAUUGGCUGAAUAGUUGGGUGGUAGAGAGCUUCUACUAAGAGGCUAGUCUUGUGCGAAGGCCAACACACGUGGAAUGGAGGGAUAAUUUUUUGUGAGCAUUAGACUCACGCUUGUUAUUCAUGGGCUUUGUGCCUGCACUUGUUUCGUAGCUCCUGCCGUGCUUGUAUCAUGACUUUUA